RNAcentral lists this ribosomal RNA (868 nucleotides) under uncultured bacterium. Its description in RNAcentral is "bacterial SSU rRNA". It matches the Rfam family "Bacterial small subunit ribosomal RNA", at positions 42 to 883 of the family's 1533-position model. The record is from RNAcentral.
GCGUGCCUAACACAUGCAAGUCGAACGAGAAAGCUCCUUCGGGAGUUAGUAGAGUGGCGCACGGGUGAGUAACACGUGGAUAAUCUGCCUGAUAAUCUGGGAUAACAUUUCGAAAGGGAUGCUAAUACCGGAUAAGCCCACAGCCUCUUCGGAGGCAGCGGGAAAAGAUGGCCUCUUCUUGAAAGCUAUUGUUAUCAGAUGAGUCCGCGGUCCAUUAGCUAGUUGGUAGGGUAAUGGCCUACCAAGGCAACGAUGGAUAGCUGGUUUGAGAGAAUGAUCAGCCACACUGGAACUGAGACACGGUCCAGACUCCUACGGGAGGCAGCAGUGGGGAAUUUUGCGCAAUGGGGGAAACCCUGACGCAGCAACGCCGCGUGAGUGAUGAAGGUUUUCGGAUCGUAAAGCUCUGUCAAGAGGGAAGAAACCUCCAAUGGUUAAUAUCUGUUGGAAUUGACGGUACCUCUAGAGGAAGCACCGGCUAACUCCGUGCCAGCAGCCGCGGUAAUACGGAGGGUGCAAGCGUUGUUCGGAAUUAUUGGGCGUAAAGCGCGUGUAGGCGGUUUGUUAAGUCUGAUGUGAAAGCCCCGGGCUCAACCUGGGAAGUGCAUUGGAAACUGGCAAACUUGAGUACGGGAGAGGGAAGUGGAAUUUCGAGUGUAGGGGGUGAAAUCCGUAGAUAUUCGAAGGAACACCAGUGGCGAAGGCGGCUUCCUGGACCGAUACUGACGCUGAGACGCGAAAGCGUGGGGAGCAAACAGGAUUAGAUACCCUGCUAGUCCACGCCGUAAACGAUGGGUACUAGGUGUUGCGGGGUAUUGACCCCUGCAGUGCCGAAGCUAACGCAUUAAGUACCCCGCCUGGGGAGUAC